GACGAACGCUGGCGGCGUGCUUAACACAUGCAAGUCGAACGGAAAGGCCCUGCUUUUGUGGGGUGCUCGAGUGGCGAACGGGUGAGUAACACGUGAGUAACCUGCUCUUGACUUUGGGAUAACUUCAGGAAACUGGGGCUAAUACCGGAUAGGAGCUCCUGCUGCAUGGUGGGGGUUGGAAAGUUUCGGCGGUUGGGGAUGGACUCGCGGCUUAUCAGCUUGUUGGUGGGGUAGUGGCUUACCAAGGCUUUGACGGGUAGCCGGCCUGAGAGGGUGACCGGCGACAUUGGGACUGAGAUACGGCCCAGACUCCUACGGUAGGCAGCAGUGGGGAAUAUUGCACAAUGGGCGGAAGCCUGAUGCAGCAACGCCGCGUGCGGGAUGACGGCCUUCGGGUUGUAAACCGCUUUCGCCUGUGACGAAGCGUGAGUGACGGUAAUGGGUAAAGAAGCACCGGCUAACUACGUG
Molecule: ribosomal RNA, 468 nt
Filed under: uncultured bacterium
Lineage: Bacteria
Description: partial 16S ribosomal RNA
Rfam family: Bacterial small subunit ribosomal RNA
Source: RNAcentral